UCUCCACAGUUACGUGGUAGGAUACGCAACCCUAUGAUCCGGCCCUCGUGGAGGAGGAGACAUGCUCUCUCCGAAAUGGCGAUAACCGGGUACAUGUCUUGCCUCUACCUCUCCACAGUUACGUGGUAGGAUACGCAACCCUAUGAUCUGGCCCUCAUGGAGGAUGAGACAUGCUCUGUCUGAAAUGGCGAUAACCGGGUACAUGUCUUGCCUCUACCUCUCCACAGUUACGUGGUAGGAUACGCAACCCUAUGAUCCGGCCCUCAUGGAUGAUGAGACAUUCCCAAUGCUCUCUCUGAAAUGGCGAUAACCGGGUACAUGUCUUGCCUCUACCUCUCCACAGUUACGUGGUAGGAUAUGCAACCCUAUGA
RNAcentral lists this unclassified non-coding RNA (371 nucleotides) under Bromus picoeuropeanus. Its description in RNAcentral is "partial external transcribed spacer". The record is from RNAcentral. Lineage: Eukaryota; Viridiplantae; Streptophyta; Magnoliopsida; Poales; Poaceae.